This 3684-nucleotide long non-coding RNA is filed under the name Triticum aestivum (bread wheat). RNAcentral describes it as "long non-coding RNA (TAES_LNC000904)". Lineage: Eukaryota; Viridiplantae; Streptophyta; Magnoliopsida; Poales; Poaceae. The record is from RNAcentral.
UAGCACGUAGCUUAAUGGACUUCGAAGAGCAGUAACAACUGAAGCGGAUGCUGUCACGUAGAUCCCCGUCCAGUUACAUAGGCUCUGGUCUUUCCAGGUGCAGGACGAGGUACAGGCCAUUGGAGGUUCGCAAAAACUAGAGCACAAAGAGUUGAUGAGGCCGCUGAUAUACAUUUUUCCUUCGUGUACAAGAUUUGAUCGGGAACAACAACAUACAAACGUCGAUUAGCAGGCAAUAACACACAACUGUGCACGCUCCUGAUAUUCAGAGAGAUUCUAUUUUUACACUUCGGGAGUACAUAUGAAAAACACAUAUCUACUGUUGUUCAGACGUAGUUGAAACUGCAGCAUAAUCAUAUUUGACAUCUACAGUGUUGCUAUCUUGGGAACCGUGUUCUCUCCAACUGAUCUUCCACAUCUGGAGUAAGCUUACCCUGCAUGACAGAGGAAAAAUAUUACUCACAUGAUGAAUCUGGUGAUUUCUCAUUCUGUUAUCAUUCUAGUAAUCAAAUUGAACAAAGAUCAACCUCAUAAAGAGCGAAGACAUCACAAUUUUAGCAUCAGUGGAAUGAAAGUCCAUGAUAGUGUAGCAUAAAUUUUGGUGUAUUUGUAUUGCUCAAAGCAGAACAAGCAACUUACGACUGGAAACAGUUUGGCCUGUAUAAUUGUGAUUUUUAAUACAACUGUAUGUAUAAUCAUAUUUGAUCGCUUGACCGUCCUACACGACCUCAUUUUGCCGAGCGUGUGUGGCCAGAGAGCCUAUCGCCGACGCUUUCUGGGUCGUGUGGGAAGGACCCUUCUAUCGCCCACACUCACUUGGCGACGGUUCCAAAUGCCGUUAAUGAAGAGGCUUGGUAUCAUUAUGUUAAUUUGAGCUCAAAUUCAAUAUAAAUCAAAUAAAUUCUCACACAAUUACUCCCAAACUAAACCCACAAAUCACUAUACUUAUAGAGCAUUGCACGUGUUAAUCUAGCAAUUAGAGAUGAAAGGACAAAAUUGCUAACCUUUGUGAACACUUGGAUAGUUGGGGUGCCUCAAAUCUUGACAAAUCUUGGCAAAAAAUGAAGGAUGAGCUUGAGCUAAGGGGAAGAACAGAGAGGGAAAAGGAGAAAACAGAGAGGAUGAGCUCGGGACGAACUGGGGUUUAUAUAGGAAUAACUUUAGUCCCGGUUGGUAAUACAAACUGAGACUAAAGGUCAAGCUAUAGUUCCGGUUGGUGAUACAAACCGGUACUAAAGGGGCUCGUGGGGGGCCAGCCUGACGCCAUCACCAACCGGGAUUAUAGGUCAAAAAUGAACCGGGACUAAUGAUGCCCAUGCCCCCUUCCGCUCCUAGCCGUUGGAACCGGGACUAAUGGUCACAUUAGUCCCGGGCCUAGAUCGGGACUAAUGCUUCGGACGAAAGGUCUGUUUUCUACUAAUGUUCACCCACUCAACAAAGGGCCUUUUCAUAUGCAAUGUGUCAUUGUAUGGUGGUGAAAAAACAUCCGCUUCCAUAUAUCAGUGGUGAUUCCCCAAUUUGUGUCGGUUGCUGCCGACGUCGAGCUUGGAUGCGCAUGCACUGUCUCUGCUUCUUGUGAUGCUUUUGCUACUGCCCUUCUACCUCCACUUCAUAUUGAUGUGUCAUAACCGUAGACUGCAUUUGCGUUGCACCUAAUGAACUGGACAAAUACAGGGGGAAACUCGAUUGAAAGUUGACAACAACAAUGGUUAAUGUUCUGGCCCUAUAAAUUCCAAAAAUUUGUCUAAACCAUAUUUGAUGAAAGCCAUUUCUCUUAUUCUUCCUGGGAAAAUUUCAAUGCUCUCCAUAAGGGUCAAAAUGAUGAAGCACGCACGCUCCUCAUGAGGAGAUACAUAGCCUGCCGAGUCGUGACUCGGAGUAUACUCCGCGACAUCUUGGCAGCAGCAGCGAAAGCCAUUGUGGUUGGCUCUAAUACCAACUGUUUUGAACCUUGAUCCACCAGAAAAUGCAUGGCCGCAAAGGAUUGCGUAUACAUAGGUUUAGAUGCGAGGACAACUUGGUGAAACAUAUUGAUUGUUCUUGCCUCCUCAAACAUGGGCGCAUGCCAUCCUUAUAUAACGGAUGCUUGGGCCCUUGAGGCCUUGACCUUUCAUAUUCUCCUAAUAUGAUUAGACUUCCUUAUACAAAUGCAGUCUUUCCUAAUCUUACAAUUUCCUAGUGGACUCUUAGGAUACUUCUUUCUCAUUGACUCCUUGUCAGGUCCUAGCAGAAAAGGAAUCUCAACAUAUAUCCCUCAGUUGUCCAUCAGAGAAACAGAAGUGAAGGGUACAUUCACUUAUCCAACGUUGCACGUGUGAUUGAGAAAUACAAUGGCUGUUGUUACGUGGCUUAUUGUUGUAAUUGCAGUUUACUGUAAUUUAGUUUAACCAGGUGCUUUGCUUAGGCCAUUUACCACAUGUUUUACUCUCGGUAAUCACCAAACCGAUCUGGCUAUGUUUACCGUUCCCAUCUGAGUAAAGUGUAAGAAAGAAUUCGACAAAACAUAGUUCCUUAGAUUAGCUAGAAGUAAAAGUGAUCAUCUUCACAACCAUCCCGCAUUUUAUCCUGUAAUCCGACAAAUCCCUCGUUCGGUUUUUCGAUGAAUUCCUUCUAAUUAUUUUGGUCCUGGCACUCCUCCCAUGCUAGAUCAACAGGCGAUCCCUCUAUUGGAGCACAAAUUUGGUGAAGCAAAAUAUGCUUUUUGUAUUUGGUUUACUCUAAUAUCUCAGAAACAAAAGCGUCGAGUAUGGACCGCUUCACCCAGCCAACACCAUGUAUGCAUUGUGUGGUAGUGGGAAAACUGCCGCUUUCAUAUAUAUAGUCUCGAUUCCCUGCUACCAAAGAAAUCAUCAGGUCAUCAUAUUGUCAUGAUCAUUUGAAUUACUAUGGCAUGGCAGAUCAUCAUGCUUAUUGUGUUUCUCAAAAGUGCGAUUUUUACUGCUGGAAUCAGCCAUACACCUCUAUCGAAAAGAAAAGAUGGGAACCUGAAAUAAAAAUAUAUAGUUCCCAAUCCAUGACAACAAUUGCAUGAUAAAACAGGGGAAAUCUGGGUCCAGAGCUCCCACCUCUAACUCUAUCCCAAAUCGAUGAUGCAUUAACCCAUCUUCAUUCUGUGCUGAAAACCUGAACUCUUUUUCUUUUCUCAUUUGAAAGAGUAAUAAGAAAGCUGAACUCAGUCUAUCACUUAGUGACUUAGACAGGCAAGCUGAUAUAUGAUUUUGCACACAUGGAAGUCAUCGAGUGCAUAGCAUGCAGCUUAAUGGAUUCCCAAGAGCAGCAACAAUUGAUGCAGAGCAGUGACAGUAAAUCCCCGUCGAGUUACAUAGGCUCUAGUCUUUCCAAGCGCGGGACGAGUUAUAGACCAUUGGUUGUUUAGGAAAAACUAGACCAGAGAGUUGAUGAGGCCGCCGAUAUACAUGUUCCCUUCGUGUACAAUAUUUGAUCAGGAACAACCGCAUACAAACGCCAAUUAGCAGGCUAUAACACACAACCGUGCACGCUGGGGCUCUUGAUAUUCAGAUCGACCCUAUUUUUGCACUUUGCAAUUACACACGAAAAACAAAUAUCUAAAAUUGUUCAGACGUAGUUGAAACUGCAGCAUAAUCAUAUUUGACGUCUACAGUGUUGCUAUCUUGGGAACCACGUUCUCUCCAACUGAUCUUCCACAUCUGGAGUAAGCUUACC